AGAGUUUGAUCAUGGCUCAGGAUGAACGCUAGCGGGAGGCCUAACACAUGCAAGCCGAGCGGUAUUGUUCUUCGGAAAUGAGAGAGCGGCGUACGGGUGCGGAACACGUGUGUAACCUGCCUUUAUCUGGGGGAUAGCCUUUCGAAAGGAAGAUUAAUACUCCAUAAUAUAUUGAACGGCAUCGUUUAAUAUUGAAAGCUCCGGCGGAUAGAGAUGGGCACGCGCAAGAUUAGCUAGUUGGUGAGGUAACGGCUCACCAAGGCGAUGAUCUUUAGGGGGCCUGAGAGGGUGAUCCCCCACACUGGUACUGAGACACGGACCAGACUCCUACGGGAGGCAGCAGUGAGGAAUAUUGGUCAAUGGGUGCAAGCCUGAACCAGCCAUCCCGCGUGAAGGACGACUGCCCUAUGGGUUGUAAACUUCUUUUGUAUAGGGAUAAACCUACCCUCGUGAGGGUAGCUGAAGGUACUAUACGAAUAAGCACCGGCUAACUCCGUG
RNAcentral lists this ribosomal RNA (498 nucleotides) under uncultured bacterium. RNAcentral describes it as "bacterial SSU rRNA". It matches the Rfam family "Bacterial small subunit ribosomal RNA", at positions 8 to 507 of the family's 1533-position model. The record is from RNAcentral.